This 126-nucleotide ribosomal RNA is filed under the name Vibrio parahaemolyticus. The record is from RNAcentral. Lineage: Bacteria; Pseudomonadati; Pseudomonadota; Gammaproteobacteria; Vibrionales; Vibrionaceae.
CUUGGCGACCAUAGCGUUUUGGACCCACCUGACUCCGAGCUUUUUUUUUUUCCAAGCAGAAGACGAAAUAGCGCCGAUGGUAGUCGUGUGGGGUUUCCCCCAUGUGAGAGUAGGACAUCGCCAGGC